Molecule: non-coding RNA, 314 nt
Organism: Paramuricea clavata
Lineage: Eukaryota; Metazoa; Cnidaria; Anthozoa; Malacalcyonacea; Plexauridae
Source: the annotation of a GenBank genome assembly
GAGGGUUAGUGUCGUACCUUACUAUGUGACUACUCACCCUCCAGCUAUUCAAAAACAGCAUUGACACCCAAGAGAAGCUCAGAUUGAACCUCCACUCAUUGAGUGUGAGUGAGCUUUUAGAAUACGGGCGUUAGUGUGCCAAUCAUUACUAGCAGAAUGUCUUUUCUAUGUCUGUGUGGUAAAAAAUAGAUUGCCCCAAGAAUUCUUAAGUGACAAGGCGGUAUGGUUUACACUACCAAAGUUUCUGUUAUCACAGUAGGAAUUUUGCAUAGAUAUAAAUUCUACGUUUUGAAGGAUUUGUGAGAAAUACUUGA